This 171-nucleotide ribosomal RNA is filed under the name uncultured bacterium. RNAcentral describes it as "partial 16S ribosomal RNA". It matches the Rfam family "Bacterial small subunit ribosomal RNA", at positions 336 to 524 of the family's 1533-position model. The record is from RNAcentral.
CUCCUACGGGAGGCAGCAGUGGGGAAUCUUGUGCAAUGGGCGAAAGCCUGACACAGCAACGCCGCGUGCGGGAAGAAGGCCUUCGGGUCGUAAACCGCUUUCAGCAGGAACGAAAAUGACGGUACCUGCAGAAGAAGGUGCGGCCAACUACGUGCCAGCAGCCGCGGUAAU